RNAcentral lists this ribosomal RNA (253 nucleotides) under uncultured bacterium. RNAcentral describes it as "partial 16S ribosomal RNA". It matches the Rfam family "Bacterial small subunit ribosomal RNA", at positions 524 to 776 of the family's 1533-position model. The record is from RNAcentral.
UACAGAGGGUGCAAGCGUUAAUCGGAAUUACUGGGCGUAAAGCGUGCGUAGGCGGUUAUUUAAGUCGGGUGUGAAAGCCUCGGGCUCAACCUGGGAAUUGCAUUCGAGACUGAAUAGCUAGGGUACGGUAGAGGGAAGUGGAAUUGCCGGUGUAGCGGUGAAAUGCGUAGAUAUCGGAAGGAACAUCAGUGGCGAAAGCGGCUUCCUGGACCAGUACCGACGUUCAGGCACGAAAGCGUGGGGAGCAAACAGG